AGCAAUGGUGGCCCAGGCGGGGCAGCCUUCGGGCUGGCCGGUUUCCAAUAAGGCCGGUAUUCCUACCCCCGUCUGGGCUACCACCCAU
This is a non-coding RNA of Yersinia mollaretii ATCC 43969, 88 nucleotides long. NCBI's taxonomy places the organism in Bacteria, Pseudomonadati, Pseudomonadota, Gammaproteobacteria, Enterobacterales, Yersiniaceae. The record is from Rfam.